UGGGAAGUCGCGGCGGCGGCGGCGACUGAUGGCUGCCCGGCCAGGUAAGCUCAGCUCCGUCGCGCCUUGAAGGAGGGGCGCAAAGAAGCCCGAAGACUCGCCGCUCUCGAGGAGAGGCUCUUGCGCGGGCCAGGCGCCCCGCUGGGCUCGGAGCGGCCGGACGAGGCUCCGCUGCGCGUCCGCCCUGAGCGCGGCUCCUCGGCUCUCGCCAGACGCGCGGAGCGGCUCUGCCAACGCGCCUCCAGCUCCCUGCGUCCCGCCGCGCGGAGCAAGCCUGGCCCCGGGGCGGCCAGGACACCGCAGCAGCCGCGGGCAAGCCCUGGGCUCGGAGGGCUCGUCACAUCUCCCUGGCGGCUCAGCCGGGCCCGAGAGGAAGGCUGUUGAAGGAGCUGAUGUAAAAUCUGUGGCAAAAUGUUCCAGGGUGUGGCCAAAGGGGCAUAUUGGAAGUGCAUGGCAGAAAGGCUCCAGCAAAGGAUGCUUGUACCCAGGGGACUCCAGUUUGACAGCCACAACUCUUAAAGUUUUCACAGGAGCUGUGGCCUCAGUGUUUGGAUUCUUGGUGCCAGUUCUGCUCAGAUGAUGGUUGCAGAGCAUUUUGACACUCAGCUCCUUGUAGAUGAAAGCAGGAGGCUCUGGGAAUUCCAUGCCGUGUGCUGGCUGUGGCAGUUGGAGAUUCUGCAGCCGCUUAACCCUGGAGACCAGACUCCUUCUCAAGAACUUUCGUGUAGCAAAUUCAUCUUGCAUCUGAAGUACAGACAGUCCUGGGCUGUGGUGAACAUCCUUGGAGGUUUUCCACUAAAGAAAGUGCAAUACCGUCUCGGAAUGAUGCAACAUGGUUGACAACACCAGCAAAAGACUUAAAAGCAUAUGAAGGUGUUCACUUUGGAGUCAGUGCUUUCAGUGGCUGGAUCAAAGAUGUUUCUUCCUGCUCUCCUAUCAAGGAGUGCCCCAUUAUGGCUUUGAAGUGUUGAAAAGAAUCAUUCUGGGUCUGAUGGAUGAAGUGACCAGUUGGUGAAAUCGCUCUUGCCAGCAUUAUCUACUCCUUGUAUCCAGUUGAAGAGUUCAUACUGCCACCCUGCCCUGAAAGCUGGAGCAACCAGGUGAAAACUGAUGAUGCAAAGAAAUGUUGCCUCUGUUCACCUGGCCAUCAUGGAGCUGAAGAAUCUUCAUCAGCACACUCUGGGCAACUACCUGGUGCAUUUUCAUCCUGCAGAAGAUGUGGACAAGAGGCAAGAUGUGACUUACCUGCUUACUUGGACAAUCUGGCUAUCCAUCACCGCUUUUCAAGGUUUUACCCCCAUCAGGAUGCUGACCCUGAAGCGGCCCAGUUCCAGAUGUCAUUGAGGGCCUCAUUGCCUUUGCAAAUAAUGACCAUAGUGCCUGGUCUAGAAGAGGAGAGAUUAUCUUCCAGAAUGUUUUGCAGAUAAUGGGAUUGGACUCAGUCUAGCUAGAUGAAAGCUGCAGUCUGGAAGUAAUUCAUUCCGUCUUUGUCGGUGAAGAUCACAGUGCUGGAUCUUGGAGAGGACAAAACAGCUCCUGGGAGAGAGGCGCCGAUGGUGAAUGUGGGACACUGCCCUGAAACAAUGUGCUGUCAGGAGUAGACAUUCAAAUGAAGUACAUUCGGAUCUGGAUUCAGUUUCUCAGGAUGGCAGACGUAGAUAACCAUGCUGGGGUGGCUUUUGAUAAGGCACCUUUGCUAUGCUUAGAUAUAAAGGAGACCCCAAUCCCGUUUGGAUUAAAAUCUACAGUCAAGGUGCUGAUCAGAAAUCCACGUCUCUCCAAUAUUAUAUCCCCCUGAUACUGAGAGAGUACAGAUGAUGGACGAUGUGACAAGACUUUUUUGGAACAACCCAGGAUGCAAUUCGGCAAACUCUUGAAAGCUUGCUAAAUCAGCUAUAUCGUGCAUCGCCUUAAUUAUAGGGUGGCAACAUUAUAUUAUGAGAUGGUUGUUAUAGGCUUUUUAUUGGAAAAUGCCUUGGAAAUAUAACAUUCAUUUUAUGACUAAUAAAUAUAUUUUACUGUAUUCUGAUGAAGUGGGGGGGGCAAGU
Molecule: non-coding RNA, 2048 nt
Organism: Python bivittatus (Burmese python)
Lineage: Eukaryota; Metazoa; Chordata; Lepidosauria; Squamata; Pythonidae
Source: RefSeq, a predicted model, not a curated record